Molecule: long non-coding RNA, 2345 nt
Organism: Microplitis mediator
Lineage: Eukaryota; Metazoa; Arthropoda; Insecta; Hymenoptera; Braconidae
Exons: 4
Source: RefSeq, a predicted model, not a curated record
CUACCGCCCUCUACGUCUGACAGUAUAUUUUGCUUCAACUGAGAGUUUCUUGAGGGAAGGUACCAAGUCGUUUGAACUAACUCUAUAGUAUUUGAUAUAACUCAAUAACUUUUUUCACUUAAAAAAAUAUAGAAAUUAGUUCAAGUCUUUGAUGCUGUUGAUACAAUAGAGAUUUUUGUUUUAUCUAAAAUAAUUAAAAAUUUCACUCAAAGUAAAUUGUGAGGUGAUUGAAGGUUCGUUGAAACUGUCCUUGCAAUUGAUUCAAUAAAAAAUCGAAUUGUUUCAAGUUGCUGUAUUGCAUUGAUCCAAAAAAACAGUAAUCUGCAUCAAGUUCCACUAAGAACUUUAAAUCGAUGGGCUACGAAGAAAUCUGACUACUCUGCUUGCAAUGAUGCACGAUGUAAUGAUAGUUCUGAUACACAAAGUGAUGAUAGUUCUGAUACACAAAGUGAUGAUAGUUCUGAUACACAAAGUGAUGAUAGUUCUGAUACACAAAGUGAUGAUAGUAGUGAUCAAGAAAGUGUUAAUGACUAUCAUACUGGUUCAAGUGAUGAGGAUGUCAUCGGCAUUGAAGAUCACGAAACAAUUGAUAAUAAUGGCAACAAUGAGUAUGCAGCAAAUACUUUAUUGUAUGAAAAUAGCGAUAUCACAGUAGAUGAAGCUGUUUUUAAUUUAUUAGAUUAUUAUAUAAAACAUCAACUCUCUAAUUCUGCGCUAGAAGAUGCAUUGAAAAUUCAACUAGCAGCUCUUCCUCGUAAUAAUCGGUUACCAAAGACUUUAUUUAAAUUAUUUCAAUAUGUUGAAAAAAUUACAUUGUCACGUAACCAUUCAAAUUAAUUAAUAAUUAAUUAGAAAUAAGUAAUAGUAUUUAAGUUUAAAUUUGAAUGGUUACGCGGGCAUUUCGUUGCCACGCCGGUGAGACAGCGUUUGCUCGCGCAUGCGCGCGGUAUGACUGAGAGCACGUGUGUGCGAAAAUUUUAAAUUUUAAUUUAAAAAUAACUACACUUAUUAUUUAUUAUUUAUAAGCGAAUAUUUAUGAUUUGGCGUUAUUCAGAGGACAUAAUGUGUGGUCACAUUAUGGCCCAAUUAUUAUUUUUAUUUUAUUUCGAAUUAAUUGCAUAUCCAGGUAUUGUGGAAAUGAAAAUAGUCACCAUAGAGGAGGGGAAAAAUCGAUAUUUUCCCCUGCAAUAUCGACGGAUAACAUGCGGUUCUAAUUAAUUAUUAUUUAAUUAUAUAUAAAUUAUAUGAUUAUUAUUUUGGUAGAAAUAAAUACUAAAUAUAUGUAUUUAAUUUAUUAUGUAUCAUUCAGGUGGGGUAAAAUUGUCUUUAUAAUUUAUUUAAUUAAUUUAAAGGCCCGGGGCUAGGUAACAAUGAUAAUGAUAAUUAAGGGCGAUUGUUGCGCCACGUGGGUGGCCAACAAGUGGCCGGCCCAUUAAGUACUCAGAAAGGUACGGAGAGUACAACUGAGUAGACGCUGUCUUACGUUGUCAAUACGUUUUUGAUUGAUUAAUUAAUUUUGGUUGUUAUUUGUGGUCACGUUUGUAAAGUUGUUUAUAUCAAUUCACCGGGUGAUUGAGUUCCGGAACGAGGUGCUGAUUAAUUUGGGAGAUAAUCGAAAGAAGCUUCUCCACUAUAUGGAGACAGAGUCAUGACAUACAAUUUGCACCAGCUACGACACCUUGGUCUUUGUGUGAGACGAUGGGGCCCAUUGAGAUCAAUAUCAGCUUUUCCAUGGGAAAACAAAAACGGAUACAUUGCCAAUAGUGUUCAUGGCAACAAAAAUAUGGGCCAGGAAAUAGUAAAUAAAUUAAAAAUUACUCAAAGAAUUCAGAUCCUAAAGAGUAACAUUGCUCAGAACAAUUUGGCUGCUGAAGUUCAUAGGCAAAGAAAUUACAAACUCUUAGGAAAAGCUAUCGGAGUUGAAAUGCAAGAUGAUGAACGUCAAUUAAUUACAUCUGAGGGAUUUAAUUAUCAAAGUUUAAAAAUCUAUUCUAGGGCAAGAAUAAAUAAUGAAAUUUAUACGUCAACUUUAUACAAAGUAACUAAAACUAACAGUUAUACAGUAAAAGCAUUAUCUAAUUGUGGUCGAUGUAUUGAUGGAUCAGUAAGAUUUUUUUUUGAGAGACAAAGACGAUUGUACUUCAUGAUUAGAUGUUUGCAUGUUGAACAUAAUAAGAUGAUGACUCAUUUAAAGACUAAAUCAACGGUAAAACAUAUAAUACCUGUUACUGAGUCUACGACAUACUUUCUUGUUGGGCUGGAAAAUUUGAAAUAUAUUUGUUAUCUUGUACGAGUAGGUAACUAUAUUUGUAAAAAACCUGACGACGUAAGAAAGGUUUGGUAAA